This 120-nucleotide ribosomal RNA is filed under the name Ranunculus cantoniensis. RNAcentral describes it as "5.8S ribosomal RNA". Lineage: Eukaryota; Viridiplantae; Streptophyta; Magnoliopsida; Ranunculales; Ranunculaceae. The record is from RNAcentral.
GUUGCGCCCGAGACCUUUAGGUUGAGGGCACGUCUGCCUGGGCGUCACACACAGCGUUGCUCCACACCAACCUAGUUGGUAGGGAGCGGAUAUUGGCCUCCCGAGUCCUUUGGGCAUGGU